GACGAACGCUGGCGGCGUGCUUAACACAUGCAAGUCGAACGGAAAGGCCCUGCUUUUGUGGGGUGCUCGAGUGGCGAACGGGUGAGUAACACGUGAGUAACCUGCCCUUGACUUUGGGAUAACUUCAGGAAACUGGGGCUAAUACCGGAUAGGAGCUCCUGCUGCAUGGUGGGGGUUGGAAAGUUUCGGCGGCUGGGGUUGGACUCGCGGCUUAUCAGCUUGUUGGUGGGGUAGUGGCUUACCAAGGCCUUGACGGGGAGCCGGCCUGAGAGGGUGACCGGCCACAUUGGGCCUGAGAUGCGGCCCGGACUCCUUCGGGAGGCAGCGGUGGAGAAUAUUGCACAAUGGGCGGAAGCCUGAUGCAGCAACGCCGCGUGCGGGAUGACGGCCUUCGGGUUGUAAACCGUUUUCGCCUGUGACGAAGCGUGAGUGACGGUAAUGGGUAAAGAAGCACCGGCUAACUACGUG
Molecule: ribosomal RNA, 468 nt
Filed under: uncultured bacterium
Lineage: Bacteria
Description: partial 16S ribosomal RNA
Rfam family: Bacterial small subunit ribosomal RNA
Source: RNAcentral